UACGUAGGGUCCGAGCGUUGUCCGGAAUUAUUGGGCGUAAAGAGCUCGUAGGCGGUUUGUCGCGUCUGCCGUGAAAGUCCGGGGCUCAACUCCGGAUCUGCGGUGGGUACGGGCAGACUAGAGUGCGGUAGGGGAGAAUGGAAUUCCUGGUGUAGCGGUGAAAUGCGCAGAUAUCAGGAAGAACACCCGUGGCGAAAGCGGAUCUCUGGACCAGUUCUGACACUGAUGAGCGAAAGCCAGGGGAGCAAACAGG
RNAcentral lists this ribosomal RNA (253 nucleotides) under uncultured bacterium. Its description in RNAcentral is "partial 16S ribosomal RNA". It matches the Rfam family "Bacterial small subunit ribosomal RNA", at positions 524 to 776 of the family's 1533-position model. The record is from RNAcentral.